UAACAUCCCAAAGCAUCAUCACGAAAAAAUUCAGCUCAUUUCAAGUUCAUAUGGCAUGGCAAAAAAAUCAGGAAGUUAGACAAGAAAUGGUGUGACACAAAUUGUCACACCUAGAUUCAACAGCUCAUAUCUCAUCAACCAGGAAAGCAAAAAUCACAAACUCUAUACCAAAAUGUUCAUCAAAGUGUCUAGAUUACACAUGUAAAAUUUCAAGAAUUUUGGAUUAAGCAUCAUCAUUUCAUGAUCAAAACAUCAAGCAAG
This 261-nucleotide long non-coding RNA is filed under the name Lathyrus oleraceus (garden pea). RNAcentral's name for it is "Pisum sativum (pea) long non-coding RNA (PSAT_LNC013420)". Lineage: Eukaryota; Viridiplantae; Streptophyta; Magnoliopsida; Fabales; Fabaceae. The record is from RNAcentral.